This 501-nucleotide ribosomal RNA is filed under the name uncultured bacterium. Its description in RNAcentral is "partial 16S ribosomal RNA". It matches the Rfam family "Bacterial small subunit ribosomal RNA", at positions 30 to 523 of the family's 1533-position model. The record is from RNAcentral.
AUUGAACGCUGGCGGCAUGCCUUACACAUGCAAGUCGAACGGCAGCACGGGUGCUUGCACCUGGUGGCGAGUGGCGAACGGGUGAGUAAUACAUCGGAACGUACCUUAUCGUGGGGGAUAACGCAGCGAAAGCUGUGCUAAUACCGCAUACGCCCUGAGGGGGAAAGCGGGGGACCGUAAGGCCUCGCGCGAUUAGAGCGGCCGAUGUCUGAUUAGCUUGUUGGUGAGGUAAAAGCUCACCAAGGCGAUGAUCAGUAGCUGGUCUGAGAGGACGAUCAGCCACACUGGGACUGAGACACGGCCCAGACUCCUACGGGAGGCAGCAGUGGGGAAUUUUGGACAAUGGGGGCAACCCUGAUCCAGCAAUGCCGCGUGAGUGAAGAAGGCCUUCGGGUUGUAAAGCUCUAUUGUCAGGGAAGAAACAGCAGCUCUAACACAGUCUGCGAAUGACGGUACCUGAAGAAUAAGCACCGGCUAACUACGUGCCAGCCGCCGCCGUAA